Molecule: non-coding RNA, 28 nt
Filed under: Mus musculus (house mouse)
Lineage: Eukaryota; Metazoa; Chordata; Mammalia; Rodentia; Muridae
Source: RNAcentral
UACCAAUUGAGCUAUAUCCCAACCUCCA